This is a long non-coding RNA of Oncorhynchus kisutch (coho salmon), 1812 nucleotides long. RefSeq lists it as uncharacterized. The transcript is spliced from 2 exons. The record is from RefSeq and is a predicted model, not a curated record. NCBI's taxonomy places the organism in Eukaryota, Metazoa, Chordata, Actinopteri, Salmoniformes, Salmonidae.
CAUAGAAUUGUACCGCAGGAAUCACAGAGGACAGAUGCUGUGGUGGCGACUGCAGAGAAGUACUUGGGUGUAUGAGAUUUUUACUGCAGAAAAGAUACAAGGUGUUUUGAGCGAAAGUGUCCCGUCCUCCCAGGCUGCUGUCCUGGUGUAGGAUCAGAUAGGGCCAAAGUAGUGGAAUAGUGAUGAGUUUUUAAUGGGUGUAGGAUUAGUUGCUAGGUCUUUUUUAUUUCAGUGUAAAGAAUUCAUACUACAGAGUAGGCUGAUACACAGCCAUACAGUAGGUGGCGGCAUAGCACCUAUAACAGUUGUUUGCAGACCGCCAUAAUACCAAAGAAGAAGCAGACGCUGCUCUUGCUAGCCAACAUAGCCGAAACAUUUGAGCCGUUUAGACACUUUCAGUGACGGUUAGCCACUGUGUUUUAACUUUAAACCCACUUCUGUCGUAUCUACUAGUUACCCCAUUUACUGUCAUAUGUACGCUGUUGCUGUUAGUUAGCUAGCUGGCUUGUUAAAUUGGCAGUAGCACUAGGCUAGUCGCUAAUUCUAACUAGCUAGCUAAGUGACAUCCUCGACCACGAGUUCACUGAGUUACUUGCACCCUGCUAAAGAAGAGAAGGCAUGCUGGGCGGAGGAAGAAGCUCUCGUGAAAGUGGAGAGGAGGCUGUUUCAGUAGACAUUUCAGUGAAAGAAGAAGAAGAAGAAGCUUUCAGAGUGAAAGAGGAGGAUGUUAAUGUGAAAGAAGAGGAGGAGACGGAUGCAGUUUUUGUAGUGAAAGGAGGAGGGGGAGGAUGACUGACGAAGAAGUUUUGGAAUUGAAGGAGGGGGAGAUUGUCACAUUAGAGGAGACUGGAGAUUUAAUGAACACCAGAGAGAGGUCAGACUCUCACUCUGACAGCGGGAAGAGUCCUUAAGGGGAACCAGAGACACCCAAACCAGCGGGACGACACCCUACCUCCCAUUGUGGAAAGAGUUUUAAGAGGUUAUGGACACUAAAAGAGCAUGGGAGAACACACACAGGAGAAAAGCCUAACCACCGCUCAGACUUUGGGAAGAGGUUUUGCCAGAUAGACAGCCUGAAACGACAUAAGAGAACACACACAGGAGAAAAUCCUCACCACUGCUUCCAGUGUGGCAAGAGUUUUACCCGUUUAUGUUACCUGAAAAUACAUGAGCGAAUACACUCUGGAGUGAAGCCUCAUCACUGUUCCCAAUGUGGACAGAGUUUUACCCAUUCAGGGAGCCUGAAAAAACACGAGAAAACACACUCAGCAGAGAAGACCUACCACUGCUCCCAGUGUAGAAAAAUAUUUAUCAGUUUAUGGCACCUGAGAACGCAUGAGAGGGCACACACAUGAGGGGAUAAGGCCUACCACUGCUCCCAGUGUGAAAAGAGUUUUACCCGGUUAGGGAACCUGAGGACGCAUGAGAGGGCACACACAGGAGAGAAGCCUUACCACUGUGGAAAGAGUUUUACCCAGUUAGGGAACCUGAGAACACAUGAGAGGGCACACACAGGAGAGAAGCCUUACCACUGUUCCUAUUGUGAAAAGAGUUUUACCCGGUGGGGGAGCCUGAAAAAGCAUGAGUGGAUACACACACGUGAAAAGCCCUACCAGUGCUCCUUGUGUGGAAAGAGUUUUACCCAGUUAGGAAACCUGAACCAGCAUGAGAGGACACACACAGGAGGGGAUAAGGCCUACCACUGCUCCCAGUGUGAAAAUAGUUGUACCCGGUUAAGGCAUCUGAAUAAGCACGAAAGAAUACAUACACAGGAGGAGAAGACAUACCACUGCUCUCAAUGUGGAAAGACAU